Long non-coding RNA from Pezoporus occidentalis (night parrot), 454 nucleotides. RefSeq lists it as uncharacterized. The record is from RefSeq and is a predicted model, not a curated record. Lineage: Eukaryota; Metazoa; Chordata; Aves; Psittaciformes; Psittacidae. The transcript is spliced from 3 exons.
GGUAAAUGUGGGUCUAUUGGGUGUAUAGGGGGCUUGGCUGAGGGAAGGGUGGAUCUCUAAGGUCUGUAUGGGGUUGGGCUGAGGUAAAUGUGGGUCUAUUGGGUGGCUAUGAAGCUGGGCUAAGGUAAAUAUGGGUCUAUUGGGUGGCUAUGGGGCUGGGCUGAGGUGAAUGUGAUCUAUAGUGUCUUCAUGUGCAUGGGAUUGAAACAAACACAGUCCUAUAGAGCAUCUGGGGGGUCAGAACUGAGGCAAAAGCAGUUCUGUAGGAAUACUAUAGGUCCAGAUGGAAAUAAAGGUGGAUCUAUAGGGUGUCUGUGGGCCUGGGCUGGGGUACAGAUGGCUCUAUCAGGUGUCUAUGUCGCUGGGUUGGGAUACAAGUGGCUCUAUAGGGUAUUUGUGGGGCUGGGCUGGGUACAGAUGGGUCUAUAGGGUGUUUAUAGGGCUGGGCUGAGGC